This 1346-nucleotide non-coding RNA is filed under the name Domibacillus enclensis. Its description in RNAcentral is "bacterial LSU rRNA". It matches the Rfam family "Bacterial large subunit ribosomal RNA", at positions 1581 to 2925 of the family's 2925-position model. The record is from RNAcentral. Lineage: Bacteria; Bacillati; Bacillota; Bacilli; Caryophanales; Bacillaceae.
AGUACCGAAGUCUUCGAUUCCACACUGCCAAGAAAAGCCUCUAGCGAGAUGCAAGGUGCCCGUACCGCAAACCGACACAGGUAGGCGAGGAGAGAAUCCUAAGGUGAGCGAGUGAACUCUCGUUAAGGAACUCGGCAAAAUGACCCCGUAACUUCGGGAGAAGGGGUGCUCUGGUAGGGUGCAAGCCCGAGAGAGCCGCAGUGAAUAGGCCCAGGCGACUGUUUAGCAAAAACACAGGUCUCUGCAAAGCCGCAAGGCGACGUAUAGGGGCUGACGCCUGCCCGGUGCUGGAAGGUUAAGAGGAGGGCUCAGCCGCAAGGCGAAGGUCUGAAUUGAAGCCCCAGUAAACGGCGGCCGUAACUAUAACGGUCCUAAGGUAGCGAAAUUCCUUGUCGGGUAAGUUCCGACCCGCACGAAAGGCGCAACGAUCUGGGCACUGUCUCAACGAGAGACUCGGUGAAAUUAUAGUACCUGUGAAGAUGCAGGUUACCCGCGACAGGACGGAAAGACCCCGUGGAGCUUUACUGCAGCCUGAUAUUGAAUUUUGGCACAGUCUGCACAGGAUAGGCAGGAGCCUUGGAAGCCGGAGCGCCAGCUUCGGUGGAGGCGCUGGUGGGAUACUGCCCUGACUGUGUUGAAAUUCUAACCCGCACCCGUGAUCCGGGUGGGAGACAGUGUCAGGCGGGCAGUUUGACUGGGGCGGUCGCCUCCUAAAAUGUAACGGAGGCGCCCAAAGGUUCCCUCAGAAUGGUUGGAAAUCAUUCGCAGAGUGUAAAGGCACAAGGGAGCUUGACUGCGAGACCUACAAGUCGAGCAGGGACGAAAGUCGGGCUUAGUGAUCCGGUGGUUCCGCAUGGAAGGGCCAUCGCUCAACGGAUAAAAGCUACCCCGGGGAUAACAGGCUUAUCUCCCCCAAGAGUCCACAUCGACGGGGAGGUUUGGCACCUCGAUGUCGGCUCAUCGCAUCCUGGGGCUGUAGUCGGUCCCAAGGGUUGGGCUGUUCGCCCAUUAAAGCGGUACGCGAGCUGGGUUCAGAACGUCGUGAGACAGUUCGGUCCCUAUCCGUCGCGGGCGCAGGAAAUUUGAGAGGAGCUGUCCUUAGUACGAGAGGACCGGGAUGGACAUACCGCUGGUGUACCAGCUGUCUCGCCAGAGGCAUCGCUGGGUAGCUACGUAUGGACGGGAUAAGUGCUGAAAGCAUCUAAGCAUGAAGCCCCCCUCAAGAUGAGAUUUCCCAUUACGCAAGUAAGUAAGAUCCCUUGAAGAAGACGAGGUAGAUAGGUUCGGGGUGGAAGUGCGGCGACGCAUGGAGCUGACGAAUACUAAUCGAUCGAGGACUUAAUCAA